Molecule: ribosomal RNA, 806 nt
Filed under: uncultured Gammaproteobacteria bacterium
Lineage: Bacteria; Pseudomonadati; Pseudomonadota; Gammaproteobacteria
Description: bacterial SSU rRNA
Rfam family: Bacterial small subunit ribosomal RNA
Source: RNAcentral
GGGGUAAUGUAGCUUGCUACAUUACCUAGCGGCGGACGGGUGAGUAAUGCUUAGGAAUCUGCCUAUUAGUGGGGGACAACAUCUCGAAAGGGAUGCUAAUACCGCAUACGUCCUACGGGAGAAAGCAGGGGACCUUCGGGCCUUGCGCUAAUAGAUGAGCCUAAGUCGGAUUAGCUAGUUGGUGGGGUAAAGGCCUACCAAGGCGACGAUCUGUAGCGGGUCUGAGAGGAUGAUCCGCCACACUGGGACUGAGACACGGCCCAUACUCCUACGGGAGGCAGCACUGGGGAAUAUUGGACAAUGAGGGGAACCCUGAUCCAGCCGUGCCGCGUGUGUGAAGAAGGCCUUUUGGUUGUAAAGCACUUUAGGCGAGGAGGAGGCUACCGAGAUUAAUACUCUUGGAUGUGGACGGUACUCGCAGAAUAGCACCGGCUAACUCUGUGCCACAGCCGCGGUAAUACAGAGGGUGCAAGCGUUAUCGGAUUUACUGGGCGUAAGCGCGCGUAUGUGGCCUAUUAAGCUAAUGUGAAAUCCCGAGCUUACUUGCGAAUUGCGUUUAGACUGGUUGGCUCUAGUUGGGAGAGGUGGUAGAAUUCCGGUGUAACGAGAAAUGCGUAGAAUCUGGACGAUACCGAUAGCAACGCUCCAUCUGGCUAUACUGCACUGAGUGCAAACAUGCGAGCAACGGAUAGAUCCCUGGUAUCAUGCCGUAACGAUGUCUCUACCGUUGGGCCUUGAGCUUAGUGGGCACUACGCGAUAGUAACCGCUGGCGGGACGGCGAUGAUAAACUCAAUGAUUGACGGGA